RNAcentral lists this ribosomal RNA (450 nucleotides) under uncultured bacterium. Its description in RNAcentral is "partial 16S ribosomal RNA". It matches the Rfam family "Bacterial small subunit ribosomal RNA", at positions 354 to 796 of the family's 1533-position model. The record is from RNAcentral.
GUGGGGAAUCUUCCGCAAUGGACGAAAGUCUGACGGAGCGACGCCGCGUGAGUGAAGAAGGCCUUCGGGUCGUAAAGCUCUGUCAUCAGGGACGAAUGGCCGGUGGAGUGGAAAGCCACCGGAUUGACGGUACCUGAGAAGGAAGCCACGGCUAACUACGUGCCAGCAGCCGCGGUAAUACGUAGGUGGCAAGCGUUGUCCGGAAUUAUUGGGCGUAAAGCGCGCGCAGGUGGGAUCUUAAGUCCAUUUUGAAAGUUCGGAGCUCAACUCCGUGAUGGGAUGGAAACUGGGAUUCUUGAGUACCGGAGAGGAAAGCGGAAUUCCCCGUGUAGCGGUGAAAUGCGUAGAUAUGGGGAGGAACACCAGUGGCGAAGGCGGCCUUCUGGACGGUGUCUGACACUGAGGCGCGAAAGCCAGGGGAGCGAACGGGAUUAGAAACCCCGGUAGUCC